CUCCUGCGGCGGCGCUGGCGGCGGGCGGGAUGCGCGGCCCGGCCCGCGGCAGCUGUGAAUUCUUGUAGAAGAUUGAUAGCUCUGCCAGCAUUUGUCCACAAUAGAAGAUGGGUGGAUUAAUUUCAAGAUGGAGGCAGGCAAAGCCUUCCACUGUAGAAGUAUUAGAAAAAAUAGAUAAGGAAAUACAGACAUUAGAAGAAUUUAGAGAAAAAAAUCAGAGGCUACAGAAACUAUGGGUUGGAAGGCUUCUUCUCUACUCCUCACUUCUUUACCUUAUUACUUGCUUAAUUGUAUAUUUGUGGUGUCUUCCUGAUGAAUGGACAGCAAGGCUGACAAUGACACUUCCAUUUUUUGCGUUUCCAUUGAUAAUCUGGUGUAUAAGAACAAUGCUCAUUUUUUUCUUUUCCAAACGGACAGAAAGAAAUAAUGAUGCUCUGGAAGAUUUGAAAUCCCAAAAGAAAAAAAUACUUGAGGAAGUAAUGGAAAAGGAAACGUACAAGACUGCUAAACUAAUCCUUGAAAGGUUUGAUCCGGAAUCAAGUGCAAAGGAGACUGAACUACCAUCUGGUGGAACAUCUGCAACCCCAAGACCUGGACAAGAAAUUCGUCAGAGGACUGCAGCUCAAAGAAAUGCUUCUACACCCCCACCUGUGACUCCUAAACAAGGCUCUCCGAAGCUCCCUCUUCCAGCAGCUCCUAAUCUGCAGAGAGACAGCCCAGCUCCGAGCGGGCUCCCGGAGAGAACUGCUGCGCCAUCCUUGCCGUCCAAUGUUUUACCAAGGCGCCCUGGAUCCCCUGCUACUUCAGUGCCUGGAAUGGGUCUUCAUCCUCCAGGCCCUCCUUUGGCAAGACCUGUUCUUCCUCGAGAAAGAGGAGUUGUGGAUAGAGUUAUUGAGUAUUUGGUUGGUGAUGGUCCUCAGAACAGGUAUGCCCUUAUAUGUCAGCAAUGUUUUUCUCAUAAUGGUAUGGCUUUGAAGGAGGAGUUUGAAUACAUAGCAUUUAGAUGUGCCUACUGCUUCUUCCUGAAUCCUGCAAGAAAAACUAGACCUCAAGCUCCACGACUUCCAGACUUCAGUUUUGAAAAAAAACAAACUACAGAAUUGCGGUCUGAAACUGAGCCUCUAGAACCUAGAGAGAGAGAGCCCCAGGAGACUCAGCAGACAAAAGAACCUGAAGAUGUGGCCCAGCUCGUUGAGGCAGAUGAUAAAGCGCCAAGUUCUGAGCAUCUAAAUGAUAAGCUAGCUGAAGAAGUUGAAAAAGAAGCAGAAAACAUUUCAACAACUGAAGAGGCUAUUUCAGAGUCUGCUUCAGCAGAACAAAGUGAAGAAUCUUUAAUAAAAGCAGAAUAAAAUACUUCAAGUGCCUUCUGUAGCUAGUUUUUAGCUUUGUUCAUGCCUGUUGUUACUAUUCAGAGAAGCUGGAUUUGUAGAAAACUCAAGCAACAAAGACCUUCCAGCUCUUCUCAAGUGGUCUGCCCUCUAAUUCCUUGCAUCACUUCAAGGAGUUCUGCUCAGUUGACGAAACUUAAUUUUGACUUGUUCAGCACUCAAAAACCAUUUACAAAACCACCAAGAAAAUUCAUUUUAAGAAAACUGUUUUGAAUGAUGUUUUAAAGGAAAUGUGAAAGUUGUUAUUUCUUUAGGAAUGUUUGUACUUGCAUUUUUUGUAUAUUAAACUUUUAUUUGAACAGGAGUUCCUGUAUAUUUAUAGAUGCUAUUGUUGUAGUAGCCUUGUUGCAUUAGUAAAAGGUAUGUGUGCUUAUGUACUAUAAAUAUUAUCUUUAAUCAGAAAUAUUAUCUUUAAUCAUUCUAAUCCUAGAUGUAGCCUUGACUAUACAUCACCUGCACUUGAAAUUCCAUUAAAAUCAAUGGCAAAAACAUUAAUUAGUGUGAAUUCUUAGGCUCUAAUAGACUUCCUGAAAUGUCAGGAAGUCUGUCUUAGCUUUUCUGCUUAUAAUAGAGAAAAUAUUUUAACUUGUGCUCCCCUUUUGAAACUCACUGGCUUACCAAAUUUUAAAGCAAAUGAAAUUAAGUUGCAUAGCUUGUUAUUUGAAUAUAUGCUGGUUUUGCUAUGUAUGUAACUUCUUGAGGAAAAAACGGAUCAUGAAAAAGCUAUUUAUUUACCUGAGCUUAAUUGAUGAUUUGAGGUGAUAAUUCUGUUUAAUAGUUCCUUCUGUGCUGGCUGUACUUAAUCAACUUGAAUUUUGUAACAUAGGACAUAUGAGGCCCCCAUAUGUUCCAAACAAGGAUGAGGGGGCCCCUGCCUCUUUAGUGCAGUCCCUGCCCCCCUAGUUGGACUGGCAUAUGUAGGAGAAGAAAGUUGUUCAAGGUUGAGUAGUUUCUGAUAAGACCCAUUUGUCUGUGCUGUAGCCAAUUGUGAGAACUCUUGGCUCAUGGCAUGAGCAGCCAGCUCUCCACCCUCAAAGGUCAGCCUGGCACAGGACUACAAAAUUUUGUGUGCUGAAGUAGAGGCAGGGAAAACCUGCCUUGAUUCAGGAUUGAAAAUAUGUGGCAGCUUCAGAGAGAAUUGUGGAGUUGUGAAGGUGCUGACUUUGGCCCACGAUUCCAUAGACAUUUCAGGGUGGGUAUUGCAGGUUUUAUUGUAUCUAAAUGGUGAUUUAUGUCUUUAUUCCUCCAUUAUUGUCCACAAGGCACUGCCCUGUGUCACAGGCCUGUAUUACCUAAUUUUUUCAGACUGUUUCAUUUUCAUUAGCACAGCUGCUUUAGCUUGUGAUCAGUGUACUGCAUCUCACUGAUAAGCUAAGAGGGUAUUAGAUGCACAGAAGUGACACGUAACCCUGUCAGCCUGGCUUGAUUGACCCCUCAGCUUCCGAAACAUGGGUUCUUUUUUUUUUUUUUUUUUUUUUUUUUUUUUUUUAAAUCCAAGUUAACCUGCAUCCAUUUUCACACAGAUUCGGGGUAGUUUAAAGGUUGGUCGGAUUCGAAUAUUGCUCUUUCAAAUUUGAUAAUGUAUGAGUACAGAACUGUGACCUUUGAUACGUAGUAAUACAUCAACAUGACAUGAGCAGUAAGUGCAGCAAUUACCUUUACUACGCUUCAGAUUGUGUUUUAGUUGUCAUCUUGCAUGCAAUUAUUUCAGAGAAAAAGGAAUGCCUUUAAGUUAAAUAUUUUUUGCAAAUAGCAUAAGUGCAGAAAUUAAUCUCUGGGGACUUCCUGAUUUACAGGUAAAUGUUUUCAAAUGGAUCUUGGCUUUUAAAUUAACAUUGUUUUAGUGGUAGAAAGGAAUCUGGUGCCAUUGACUUUUAUAGUACUUUUUUUAUCUGAAAGAGUUUCUUUAAACGUUGUGUUCUAAUGUAAUCUAAAUUUCAUAUUCUAAUUUAUGGCCAAAGCCUGAUCCUGCAGGCAGUUGACAUGUCACUCUGUUCAUGUUGCUUCCGUGAUAAUACUCGUGAGUUGGUUAUGUGCAUGGUAAUAAUGCAAGUUUACAUGCUUUUAAGUGCCUUUCAGAACAUCAGAGCAUCUCAGAUGUGCAUCACAUACUGAUUUAAGAGGCUGUUUUUAGGUGCCCCAGCAAUGUUUCAUCUUUUUCCUGAGCAGAUCAAGAUGCAUUUGGUUUAUUUCCAGAUGUUCUUUCUCACUUGUUAUAAAUUAUUUGGAUAAUAAUGGUGCACAACCACUACCUGGUAGUGCUAUAAAAACACAAAUCAGUACUCCUUGCCAAAGAGCAUAAGGCCUUGAGAGGACUGAUAGCAGUUGUGGUUUCUGUUCUGUGAACUAAGAAUCAGAAAAAAAUUAUUGUGUCAUUCUGAGCAAGCAAUUGAGUGACCAUUGAAUGGUGACUCUAUCAGUGUUGUCUGUCACAACCUAAACUCAAAGGGAUAAUUUGAAGUAGAACUUCACGUUCUUGUAAAAUACCUGCCUCAUCAGCAGCCAAGCACUGAAUGGUGUUGGUGUACCAGAGUUAGGCACUGAACUUUAAUUCAGGAGCUGGGAAAGGGCUUAUUUUGUUUAUAUUGAGGUGAAAGCAACACCUUUUGGAAAGGCUUUCUUUCAGCUGUCAAAAAUGUAAACCCCUAGCCCCCAAAACCAUUUAGCCAUUCUGGGUCACAGGAGGCAGCUGUCCCCAGUGGCUGCUGUGGAAUAGGGACAGAAAGGAGCCACUCCCUUCCAAACCUACCAUGAGCAGAGGGGUGCUUUUGCUAGGCUGGCUUGGUCUUUUAAUUCCUGCCUGGAGGUUGCUCACUUGCUGUAUGUGUGCACUUGUUAUAGAUGAUAAAACUAAAAGCUUUUCUAAUGCAACGCAAAGGUGUCUUUCUUUUGCUCACUAUUUUCUAGCAAGUAGUUAUUGUGGUGUUGUAUGUCCGCAGGGAGUAAAAUCAAAACAAAUUUAUUAGAUCACCAUAUAACUUACUCCUAAUCAAGAUCUUGACCAUGCAAACUGUGUUGCAAAGCCUUAAGGCAGGUGCUACCUGGGGACAAUGUGCAAACGUGUUUUUGUUUCGUUUCUUGUUGAUUUUUGGCAUGUACCACUUAAGGGCACUUAGACCCUUAAUUCCUUUAAAAUAUGCAAAAACGUAGAGUUGAGCUUUUUUGCUGUCAAUAAAUUUUAAAUGUUAA
Lonchura striata (white-rumped munia) is the source of this 4577-nucleotide RNA transcript. It is a transcript of the gene named lunapark, ER junction formation factor, with no coding region annotated. Lineage: Eukaryota; Metazoa; Chordata; Aves; Passeriformes; Estrildidae. The record is from RefSeq and is a predicted model, not a curated record.